This 27-nucleotide non-coding RNA is filed under the name Mus musculus (house mouse). The record is from RNAcentral. Lineage: Eukaryota; Metazoa; Chordata; Mammalia; Rodentia; Muridae.
UGAGUCAUAGGAGCCACAAAGAAAGCU